CUUUCCAGAGGUCACCCAAUUUUUUAUUUCAUAGCACUGGCUCCCUGACACAUUUAUCCACUCUGUUCUUACACUGUUCCUUAAAUUAACUAACAUUAAUUUUAUUCCAGUCUUUCUGCAUCACUUUGCUUUUACUGUAUCUCUUGUGCAGGAUAUAAUUGAGCUUUAUUUUUUAACUUAAAUCUGAAAGUCUUAGACUUUUAAUGAUAAGAACAUUUAACCUACUUACAUAUUUUAUCAUAGUUGAUGUGUUUGACCCCUACUUUUGCCAUUUGUAUGUUUCUGAGUGUUUUUGUGCAUGUUCAUUUUCUCAUUUUUUUAUUUCAUAGACUGUAUUUUAACAUCUUGAUGGUUUGAAGGUAGAAAACCUGAUUUUUAACCUUUAUGUUUAUUAUAUACAUAUGCUGUAGAAAUGCCUAUGUAUAUAAUAAAACCCCAUAACUCAUUGCUCCCCUCAUUAAGACAAGUAUAUUUAUUUAUUUAUUUAUUUAUUUUAUUUUUUGUCUUUUGUCUUUUGUUGUUGUUGUUGUUGCUAUUUCUUGGGCCGCUCCCGCGGCAUAUGAAGGUUCCCAGGCUAGGGGUUGAAUCGGAGCUGUAGCCACCGGCCUACGCCAGAGCCACAGCAACGUGGGAUCCGAGCCGCGUCUGCAACCUACACCACAGCUCACGGCAACGCCGGAUCAUUAACCCACUGAGCUAGGGCGGGACCGAACCCGCAACCUCAUGGUUCCUAGUCGGAUUCGUUAACCGCUGCGCCACGACGGGAACUCUGACAAGUAUAUUUAAUAUAUUUUAAGUAUAUGUAAUACCUGCUUUCUUCUGGCACCCACUAUUUCCUUGUCCUUAUUAAUUUAAUCUUAUAUGUACAGUUUCUUAUGUAAUUAUUUCCCAAAAUAGUUUUAAAAAAUAACUUCUAAUUUCUAUUUUGUAACCAGAGAUAACAUUAUUUUUUAUUACUAAUAUUCAUAGGAUUGAUAAUCCUUAAUUGUAUUAAUAAUACUAUUAAUAUUAAUAAUAGAUGAAUGGAUAAAGAAGAUGUAAUAUACACAAUGGACAACUACUCAGCCAUCAAAAAGAGUAAAAUAAUGUCAUUUGCAGCAGAUGGAUGAACUUAAAGAGAUUAUCAUAUUAGGCAAAGUCAAUCAGAAAGAGAAAGACAAAUACCAUACCGUAUCAUUUAUAUGUGAAAUCUAAAAUACAAUACAAAUCAACAUAUUUACAAAACAAAAACAAACUCAUAGACAUAGAGAACAGACUUGUGGUUGCCAAGGGGGCAGGAGUCAGGGAGGGAAGGAUUGGGAGCUGGGAUUAACAGAUGCAGGCUGUUAUAUAUAAACUGGAUAAACAACAAGGUCCUAUUAUACAUAAACUGGAUGAACAACAAGUUUAUAUAAAAACUGGAUAAACAACAAACUCAGUAUCCUGUGAUAAACUAUAACGGAAAAAGAAUAUGAAUAAGAAAAAAUAUAUAUAUAACUGAAUCACUUUGCUGUACAGCAGAAACUAACACAACAUUCUAAAUCAACUAGACUUCAAUAAAAUCAAAAGAUAUACUGAUAAGAGCUAUAAUUUACUGGGUACAUGCUAUGUGCCAGGAACUGCAUCAAGCACCUUACCUAGAUUUUUUUACUUAAUCCUUACAGAAACCCUGCUUCUUUGGUGAGGUUAGGAAUGUUAAAUAACUGUGAACAGCCCCACAUCAGCAGGGAGGCAGAGCUGGAAUUCAUCUGCUGGUCUCUGAUCCCAAAGCUUGUGCUCUUAAUGCCCUGGCUCAUUUAAACUGGGUUCAGGUUGACCACUGGUCCAUUUUACACCAUCCCAGUGUCCUUGAUCUUGAUUCAUUGCAGGCACCUGAAACAUUAAGGCCUGUUUCGCUGUCUCAGGAGGAAGACAUGACUGGUUUAUUUUCUGAGACCUUGCACACCAUCGUGUUUUUAUAACAUCUCUCCAUCUGAAUCACCUGGUUUUUAACAAUCCAGUUCUUUGGGGGCUGUGGGCCAGUGCACGUGCGGCAGGCAGGCCGGGAAUGUGCCUCUCCCUCCUCCAUUCCUGCGGUGAGAAUGCUGCUUCCUCUUUGAUGUGUGCUCCUUAUUGAUCUGUAAUUCACUUUGCCAUUGCCAAUUUAAAACUCGUUGGAAUACUUAGGGGUGUUUAAUUUGGGAGUUCCUAGGAAGUGCGUUGAGUUUAUUUGGUCUCCUGCCAUGUUAAGAAAGAAGCCAGUGUGGAUCUUGUAAAUAUUUUUUUCCUAUUCAUGGCAUUAGUCAUCUCCCAACUUUGCAUCUUCAACAAAUUGGAUGUUUCCUUUUUGGCAGUUUCAUUGCAGACUGUUGAGCAGGUGUGAGCCCCCUGGCGUUGAACUGGAGGCCCCUCUCCAGAUUGACAUCCGUCUAUUAACCCACAUUCUUUGAUUAAGAAUUGGCCGAUUAUAAACCUUUUUCUCUAUAUUUUUUGCAAAGAAACCAUGAUUGAUGUUCUUAAGUGCCUUACUGAAACCAACACUAUCUUAAGAAUUCUUUUGAGCUAAGCCUAGUAACCCCACACAAAAAAAGAAAAUUCAUUAUUCUGACGUGUUCCUAAAAUUACUGAUUCCUUCCUAAAACACAGACAGACGUGCCAUCUCUCAGGGAAGCUGUCCAGGAGUCUGUUGGGGAGUCCCACCAAGCUAACUCUUGUAGAGCUUCUGGACUUGGGAAAAGAAACACGUUUGCUGCUCUGGUCCCUAUACCUGUCCUGUUACCUCACUGAGACCCCUCAGAGGCUCUAAGAAAACACUGGAGGCCUGUUCACUAUUUAGGGCAGAGUCAGACAAGACAGAUUUGAACCCCUGAAGACAGGCGGAUCUUGGGCGCACACCUCUCCAGUUCCUCUGUGGCAUCCUCACUGUGCAUUCUGGCCGAGGCCACCCUCAGUGGGGGCCGAACCCCCCUCCUGUUCCCAGUUCAUCAGCCUCACUGAUGAACUGGCUUCUCCAGCACCAGCUCCCAUCCAGAGCCUCAUGGAAUCACAAGGCAGUUUUCUGCGCCUUGCAGAGAAUCCUCGCCUGAUGUCUGCGAGCUGCACUGUGUGUACCAGCUGCUCUGAUGUGAGCAGGUGCCCAAGACCACUACCACUCUAGUCCCUGAUGCCCUCUUUGCUCAGAGCAAGUCCUGCACAGAGCCCCCCUCCCCAGGCAUCCAUGGUGGGAGCAUAUUUAAAUGCUCCACUUUUUAACGGAAUGAGACUUCUAGCAGAAGUGAGACUGUUUUGCUUCAGCACCUAUUCUACCAACCAUAAUCAGAAAUUAGCUUUCGUGCCUUUGCUUACCCAGGCAGACUGUGGGACAUCCCACAACCCAACUCACGCUCCUUCCUCUUCUGCAUGGGGCCUCCACGCCCGGCUUUCCCAGUCUACACAGUAACGGAGGGGGUGGGGGGGGGCAUGCUGAUGUCCACAGUCACUCCAGCUGCUUCCACUGAGAUGCACCUUGUAAACUUAACCCUCCCUGCCUGGGCUUGACCAAUGACAGAGAUGCCUGUAACUACUUCACUUCCCGUUUUGCAUGAACAUUUCUCAUAUGCAUUUGUUUCUCAUAUCCUACAUCAUUAUUCUCACACACAUUCACCUAGAAUCACACCAAGCAUGGAAGAAAGAGAGCUAAGAGGGGCCGUCAGCCUUGACUCUGAUCCCACCUCUGACUGAGGUCCAAGGACUCACUCCAGAAGCAUGGACCCCGGGAUGGGGUCGGGGUGGGGACAGCUGGCUGAUGAUCAGGCCUGCCCUUGGAGGAGACCAGGUCUGUCCCACUCUCUGCUGACCCAGCUCUCAAAGCUGGGGGCCCGGAGUGGCCAGCCCAGGAGGUAGGGGGCCUGCCUGCUGCCUGGACGCUGCUGGCCUGCCCCCUCAGCACCAGCUCCAGGGACGCAUAGACCCCCUUCAUUCACAAGACCCCUUGCCUCUUCUUCUCCAAGAAGCCCAGGAGGACCUGGCCCCUGGGCUGAAACAGAGCCCCAGGGAUCGUCCUCGACCUCCCCCAGGCACAUCAUGACCGUUCUUUCUCAUCAUGGCCGUUCUUCUUCCUUCCAGAGGAAGGCCAACAGACCAGGCUGGGCCCCAGCGGGCCAGGAGGCUGGGAGAGCACACGGGAUGUGGUGCCCGUGAAUGGGCUCACUGACGGGAGGAGCUGGCGUGACUCCCCUCCGACAGCUCUGACUGUCCCAGCAGCACUGGCUGGCAAGUUACGUGAAAGGGCUGUGGUAUUAGGGAGCCAGCUCAAAAUGAUGUGGGUUUUUACAAACCAGGAACCUAGAAAUGAUACAGAGGGAGAAGGAUCAUUCUGGUGUUUUUCAGGACUUCCCAGGGCACCAUCGAGUCAGCCAGGACUGUUGAAGGCCUCCAAGGUGGCAUGUCCCCCGGCCCUACGGGAACUCUUGGGGGCAGACAGAGCUGAGACUCAGCCAGCUGCAGGGCAGCACCGGGAGGCGAGAAGUUGGGCAGCUCCUCCUGGGCUGAGCCCUGGGUCCCUCUGAGAGCAAACACGUGGGUUUUAAGAGCUCUCUCCUGAUAGAAAAAGACAGUCCCUCUCUGCUGCCUGAUGCCUGCCCCCCGCCCCUCCACCUUGGUCCCCUAAGUCAUUAUCACAUGCGACCAACAGCAUCUUACAGCCUCUGGGAGGAUUUCCAUGGAGGAACUUCUGUGCAGAGGUUUCCCGAGCGUAAGAAACUGUCUCUUACCAACAGGUUCACACCUGGGGAGGGAAGGCUCCCCAAGUCUGCCUGGCCUCCUGGCCCUGCUCACCCCUCCCUCCCUCAUCACACCUGCAGCCACGGGAGGAGAAGGGCUGCAGGCCCGACCAGGGAUUGAGUGCAAACAAUCAUGCUUAACCUGCAGAACUCCACUUUCUCAAGAACAAUACUGAGUACCCGCCAUCCAGUCCACGCAAAAAGCACGCCAAGACCUGGUCUCUGCCUCCAGAAGCUGACAGUCCAGCUGGAGAGGAUGGACACGCACACAUACCAGGAGGAGACUAAAUUAAGCCUUGGAUGGUAUAAUCUUGAAAUAAACUCGGUGAAAUGUCACAAAAUGGCAGGAAUAGCUGGGAUGGCUCCAGGAAAGAGAAAGAGUGUCAGAGGGCCAUGAAAACAGGUAGGACCAGAGGACAAGGGAGGGGCAGUCAUCCAGGCUCUAAGAGAGACACCCCUCGGUAUCUCAUGCACCCAAGACCUCCCGAAAGCAGGGUCUCCUGUCUUCCUCUGCCUGUGCCCAGGGAUGGCAGAGUGCCUGGAGCCAGAGGGACACAGAGACACACAGAGACACACGCACACAUGCACAGCCACCACUUUUAAACACCCACAGUGAGCUAGGCACUAAAUAAGACUCCUCAUAAGUGGGGCAUCAAAUACUUAAGAAAAGCCUGUGAGGUAGAGAUGAUUGUUCCAAUUUAUAAGUGAGGAGAUGAAGACUUGGUCAAGGUCAUGGUAAAUCGGAGGCAGAGCUGGAUGUCACACCACCCUGUCCGGGUCCUUUCCUGCACUGGCCUGUCGAAGGUCUGCUGCACGGCAGUUCAGCCGUGGCACUGCUAUCCGAGCUGCCUUUCACCUUCCCUCUGACCAUGUAUGCCAGCUCCUUGGAACCCAUGUGUAACUACCAGGAUUUGGUUCAGCUGCAUAAAUGAAACAACAAUAACAGAAGAUUUAUUUUUCUAUCAAACGAAGCUGUUUAAAGGGAGGUUGGCUCAGAUGGUAGCUGCAUGGUCAUGGAUUCUUAGGCUGGCUUUGUUCUGCUUCCCUGACCUCAAGGCCUGGCUUUCAUCUUACGGUCUAAUGUAGCUGCCAAACUCCAGCCAUUACAACUGCAUUCCAGGAAGCAGGAAGGAGGGGAGAAAAAAAGGCUCAUCUACCGGCUUUUGGUGCUUUCGUUAAAUUAUAGCAUACAGUUUUAAAUUUCUCAUUGGCCAGAAAUUGUCACUAAGCCUUACAUGACACAAAAAUCUAGGUAGCCUUUGUAGAAAUGUGCCAGGUGGAGAUCAAGGUUCAGUUACCAAGGAGAAAGCCUAGAUCAGGUGCUGGGGUAGACAACUUGCAAUUUUUCUUAUACUCUAUAUAAUUCCAUUUUUAAAAAAAGUAUCAGGGUGUGUGGUUGGUCCUCAAUAGCUCAGAAGCAAAGUUAAUAAUUUCCGCCAGAGCCCUUCUUCCUCCCUUUCUUCCUCUCUUUCUAACACUGCAGAUUGGAACUCUUCCGACUCAAAGGGAGAGACCCUGCUGGGAGCUCUUGUGACUCACCUUUGAGGUCACCAUCCCCCUGCAGCCUCACGCGCCCCUAUCACCCACCUCAAGCGUCUUUCCUCCUCAGCCGGAGAUGGAGCUCGCUAAUCCCCGGCCUCCAGACUGACCCUGUGUUGCCUGUUAUUGGGUCACCUUUCAGCCUGCUCUCCCACCAGUGAAGCCCAGCUCACCUGCCAACCCCUCCCAGUCCACAGUUAUGCUCACGCUUUCCUCCCAAACUCUCCAAGCUCUUCCAGUGCCUCCCCCCGUCUUUGUUCCCAGUUCUUCCCUUGAACAGUUUGUGUCUUGAGAAUUAAAAAAAAAAAAAAAAAAAAA
RNAcentral lists this long non-coding RNA (6575 nucleotides) under Sus scrofa (pig). RNAcentral describes it as "lncRNA (ENSSSCG00000053657.1)". The record is from RNAcentral. Lineage: Eukaryota; Metazoa; Chordata; Mammalia; Artiodactyla; Suidae.